GGGUAUAGACCCGAAACCCGGUGAUCUAGCCAUGGGCAGGUUGAAGGUUGGGUAACACUAACUGGAGGACCGAACCGACUAAUGUUGAAAAAUUAGCGGAUGACCUGUGGCUGGGGGUGAAAGGCCAAUCAAACCGGGAGAUAGCUGGUUCUCCCCGAAAGCUAUUUAGGUAGCGCCUCGUGAAUUCAUCUCCGGGGGUAGAGCACUGUUUCGGCUAGGGGGCCAUCCCGGCUUACCAACCCGAUGCAAACUGCGAAUACCGGAGAAUGUUAUCACGGGAGACACACGGCGGGUGCUAACGUCCGUCGUGAAGAGGGAAACAACCCAGACCGCCAGCUAAGGUCCCAAAGUCAUGGUUAAGUGGGAAACGAUGUGGGAAGGCCCAGACAGCCAGGAUGUUGGCUUAGAAGCAGCCAUCAUUUAAAGAAAGCGUAAUAGCUCACUGGUCGAGUCGGCCUGCGCGGAAGAUGUAACGGGGCUAAACCAUG
RNAcentral lists this ribosomal RNA (488 nucleotides) under Salmonella enterica subsp. enterica serovar Oranienburg. Its description in RNAcentral is "partial 23S ribosomal RNA". It matches the Rfam family "Bacterial large subunit ribosomal RNA", at positions 705 to 1191 of the family's 2925-position model. The record is from RNAcentral. Lineage: Bacteria; Pseudomonadati; Pseudomonadota; Gammaproteobacteria; Enterobacterales; Enterobacteriaceae. RNAcentral also lists the same sequence under 4 other names.